This 254-nucleotide ribosomal RNA is filed under the name uncultured bacterium. RNAcentral describes it as "partial 16S ribosomal RNA". It matches the Rfam family "Bacterial small subunit ribosomal RNA", at positions 524 to 776 of the family's 1533-position model. The record is from RNAcentral.
UACGAAGGGGGCUAGCGUUGCUCGGAAUCACUGGGCGUAAAGGGUGCGUAGGCGGGUCUUUUAAGUCAGGGGUGAAAUCCUGGAGCUCAACUCCAGAACUGCCUUUGAUACUGAAGAUCUUGAGUUCGGGAGAGGUGAGUGGAACUGCGAGUGUAGAGGUGAAAUUCGUAGAUAUUCGCAAGAACACCCGUGGCGAAGGCGGCUCUCUGGGACGGUACUGACGCUGGGACGCGAAAGCGUGGGGAGCGAACAGG